ACCGAGCGAACCCAAGGAUGGGGACUCACCUACCAGUAGAGGGUGUGAUCCUUAGAAACAGUCCUGGUAUUCUAUAACUAGGUAGCCAACAUAGGUUAAGACAUCAACCUACCAGUUAAGGGUUUGUGAGGUGUAUAACCUGCCAGUUAAGGGUACCACCAUUCUCGUUCAGAGCACCUACCAGAUGAGGGUGACUCAGCACUUAUCUUUAUUCAUGGCACGAUACUGACACCCUUU
Molecule: long non-coding RNA, 237 nt
Filed under: Capsicum annuum
Lineage: Eukaryota; Viridiplantae; Streptophyta; Magnoliopsida; Solanales; Solanaceae
Description: long non-coding RNA (CANN_LNC009905)
Source: RNAcentral